Molecule: long non-coding RNA, 458 nt
Filed under: Aquila chrysaetos chrysaetos
Lineage: Eukaryota; Metazoa; Chordata; Aves; Accipitriformes; Accipitridae
Description: lncRNA (ENSACCG00020008565.1)
Source: RNAcentral
GUUUUGGGUUAGUGAUUACACACGUCCUCCUGUCACCUCCGUUCCCUGUCAGGGCGGAGUGUCGCGGGUCUUCCUACCAGCAACCCAGUGCUUGCACUUCUGAAAGGCCAGUGUGAGAGGUACCAUAAGUGGCCAGUGAGGUCGGAUCGGGUCCGUCUAGUCUUGUCUCUAGUGGCUAAAGAUGCUUGCCGAAGAGCAGAUAAAGCAUCUGGCAUGCUUAGGUGUCAAAGUUAACAGUCAGGGAUUGGACAGCUUGCAGCAGAGGUUAUUUGCAACCUCUGGGAGGAAAUGACAUUAUUUUAGAGACGUUUACAGUAUUUCAGCACUGGACGGAAGCAUAUUCUUUAUUGAGAGAUGAGCCUACGAAGUCAUUGCAGGAGUCUGGCACUGUGAGGCGUUACCUUAAUUGGUUUUUAGAUGCUGUCAUGAAUAACUCAAAUAAAUAAUACAAGUUUGCU